This is a long non-coding RNA of Scylla paramamosain (green mud crab), 633 nucleotides long. RefSeq lists it as uncharacterized. The transcript is spliced from 4 exons. The record is from RefSeq and is a predicted model, not a curated record. Lineage: Eukaryota; Metazoa; Arthropoda; Malacostraca; Decapoda; Portunidae.
CUCUUCAUUGGAAGCUCACGUUGAUAUCUGUGUGGCUCCUGGCAACACUGGUGGUAACCAGGAGCUACGCCGGUAACCUGAUGUCUAUGAUGGCUGUAAGGAUUAUUCCAGAUCCUUUCCAAACCCUCAGGGAUGUCUUAGAUCAUCACUCGGUGGUCACCGUAUGGAGAAAGUAUUCAGCGAAUCACCAAUAUAUCACUUCAGCUGAAUCUGGUGUUUUCCGAGAAGUCGCAGAUUUAGAAAACCAAGGUCGGCUUGAAUUUCAUCUUGCAGACCAGUUUAUGCAAACCCUCGAUAAUCUCGUUCGACCAGGACACCACGUCUUCAUUGAUCCAGGAAUUACAGUUAAGAACCUCAUUGUGCAACAUUUUGCUCAAAAAGGCACGUGUGAUUUCUUCAUUUCAAAAGAGGGGUUUCUUCCUUUUUCGUCUGCACUCAUCACUCAGAAGGGCAGUCCUCUGCAUGGAAGCAUUAGUAUGAGGGCGAUGUCACUGAUGGAGUCUGGUCUAUUCAGAUACUGGUUCGAGACAAGUGUGCCUAACUCAACAUCAUGCAAAAAUCCACCUCGCAGAUACCUGGAAAACUCAGCAAUAUCCCUCGCAAAUAUAUGGGUAUCUCUUCCUUUACUUCAUU